Molecule: non-coding RNA, 353 nt
Organism: Mus musculus (house mouse)
Lineage: Eukaryota; Metazoa; Chordata; Mammalia; Rodentia; Muridae
Source: the annotation of a RefSeq genome assembly
AUGACCAUGUUCUCACUAGCUCUUCUCCUCAGUCUUCUUCUCCUCUGUGUCUCUGAUUCUAGGGCAGAAACAACUGUGACCCAGUCUCCAGCAUCCCUGUCCAUGGCUAUAGGAGAAAAAGUCACCAUCAGAUGCAUAACCAGCACUGAUAUUGAUGAUGAUAUGAACUGGUACCAGCAGAAGCCAGGGGAACCUCCUAAGCUCCUUAUUUCAGAAGGCAAUACUCUUCGUCCUGGAGUCCCAUCCCGAUUCUCCAGCAGUGGCUAUGGUACAGAUUUUGUUUUUACAAUUGAAAACAUGCUCUCAGAAGAUGUUGCAGAUUACUACUGUUUGCAAAGUGAUAACUUGCCUCU